CGGUGUAGCUCAGUUGGUAGAGCAGCUCACUUGUAAUGAGAAGGUCGAGGGUUCGAUUCCUUUCACCGGC
This 70-nucleotide transfer RNA is filed under the name Bordetella pertussis. It matches the Rfam family "tRNA". Rfam says of the family: Transfer RNA (tRNA) molecules are approximately 80 nucleotides in length. The record is from RNAcentral. Lineage: Bacteria; Pseudomonadati; Pseudomonadota; Betaproteobacteria; Burkholderiales; Alcaligenaceae. RNAcentral also lists the same sequence under 4 other names.